UACUCAGGGGGUUGCCGACUUCCCAACCAGU
Molecule: non-coding RNA, 31 nt
Filed under: Mus musculus (house mouse)
Lineage: Eukaryota; Metazoa; Chordata; Mammalia; Rodentia; Muridae
Source: RNAcentral